ACGGGAGGCAGCAGUCGGGAAUAUUGCGCAAUGGAGGGAACUCUGACGCAGUGACGCCGCGUGCAGGAAGAAGGUUUUCGGAUUGUAAACUGCUUUAGACAGGGAAGAAAAGGACAGUACCUGUAGAAUAAGCUCCGGCUAACUACGUGCCAGCAGCCGCGGUAAUACGUAGGGAGCAAGCGUUAUCCGGAUUUAUUGGGUGUAAAGGGUGCGUAGACGGAGUAGCAAGUUAGUUGUGAAAGCCCUCGGCUUAACUGAGGAACUGCAACUAAAACUGCUAUUCUUGAGUGCAGGAGAGGAAAGCGGAAUUCCUAGUGUAGCGGUGAAAUGCGUAGAUAUUAGGAGGAACACCAGUGGCGAAGGCGGCUUUCUGGACUGUAACUGACGUUGAGGCACGAAAGUGUGGGGAGCAAACAGGAUUAGAUACCCUGGUA
RNAcentral lists this ribosomal RNA (434 nucleotides) under uncultured Oscillospiraceae bacterium. RNAcentral describes it as "bacterial SSU rRNA". It matches the Rfam family "Bacterial small subunit ribosomal RNA", at positions 341 to 792 of the family's 1533-position model. Lineage: Bacteria; Bacillati; Bacillota; Clostridia; Eubacteriales; Oscillospiraceae. The record is from RNAcentral.